CAAAGAGAUCUACAACUAGUUUGUAUUCAUUUGGAAUUUUCAGUACCCAUUUUCCAAGAUAGACAAGAGAUUCACAAAUUUUCCGUCUCUGAAAAUGCUCCUGUUUCUGCCUUGAAGGGCUGUAUCAUAUCUAGCCUGUAAGAAACAAGAGAGGUCUGUGAAGAACAGCUUGGGGAAAAAAAAGCUUUGUCCCUCAAAACUGAUGUUAGUGCUUCAUAAGCCAGAAACAAUGGGAAAGAGGCACCUCACCGAUACCAAGAUGUAUGAUGUUGCUGUUCAGUUGAAAGGUUCGCAGGAGGUGGAAGUAGAGAAGAGAAAGAAAGAGAACUCCUUGAACUUGAAAACAGACCAUCAAUGGUUGCCUCUAGGGCUUUAGAUUGAGAUGUUAUCAUGGACUGAACUGUGUCCCUGCAAAAUUCAUACGUUGAAGCCCCAGCUCCCAGUGUGGCUGUAGUUGGAGAUAAGACUUUUUUAAGGAGGUAAUCAAGCUUAAAUGAAGUCAUAAAGGUGGAGCUCUAAUCCAACAGGGUCGAUGCCCUCAUAAGAAGAGGAAGAGACAUCAAGAGUGCACAUGCACAGAGAAAAGGCCAUGUGAAGUCACAAGAAGAUGGCUGUCUGCAGGCAAAGGGGAGAGGCCUCACCAGAGACUAAUCCUGCCAGCACCAUAAUCUUCAACUUCCAGUCUCCAGAACUUUAAGAAAAUAAAUUUAUGUUGUUUGAGCCCAUCAAUCUUGUACUUUGUUGUAGUAGCCUGAGCAGAGGAAUUCAUCUGGAUUGACUUCUUGUUGGUCUGGUGUUUAUUGUAUUCUGCCUGAAAUGGGUUGCAGACUUACCAAAUGUGACAGAUCUUGUACCAUGUACAUGUACACAGCUAAGUGUUCUUGAGAGGGCACUUUCUAAAAGACUUUAUACUCAGCUUAUUAGAGAGGAU
RNAcentral lists this long non-coding RNA (931 nucleotides) under Homo sapiens (human). RNAcentral's name for it is "HSALNT0088237". The record is from RNAcentral. Lineage: Eukaryota; Metazoa; Chordata; Mammalia; Primates; Hominidae.